AUUGAACGCUGGCGGCAGGCCUAACACAUGCAAGUCGAGCGGAUGAAGGGAGCUUGCUCCUGGAUUCAGCGGAGGACGGGUGAGUAAUGCCUAGGAAUCUGCCUGGUAGUGGGGGAUAACGCCCGGAAACGGGCGCUAAUACCGCAUACGUCCUGAGGGAGAAAGUGGGGGAUCUUCGGACCUCACGCUAUCAGAUGAGCCUAGGUCGGAUUAGCUAGUUGGUGGGGUAAAGGCCUACCAAGGCGACGAUCCGUAACUGGUCUGAGAGGAUGAUCAGUCACACUGGAACUGAGACACGGUCCAGACUCCUACGGGAGGCAGCAGUGGGGAAUAUUGGACAAUGGGCGAAAGCCUGAUCCAGCCAUGCCGCGUGUGUGAAGAAGGUCUUCGGAUUGUAAAGCACUUUAAGUUGGGAGGAAGGGCAGUAAGUUAAUACCUUGCUGUUUUGACGUUACCAACAGAAUAAGCACCGGCUAACUUCGUG
Molecule: ribosomal RNA, 484 nt
Filed under: uncultured bacterium
Lineage: Bacteria
Description: partial 16S ribosomal RNA
Rfam family: Bacterial small subunit ribosomal RNA
Source: RNAcentral